UCUCCCACAUCUUCAAAGCUUCGCCAUAUUUUCUCUCUCACCGCCUCUCUCUCUCUCUCACCGCCUGUCUCUCUCUCUCUCUCUCUGACUCAAACUCAGCAGCAAAUUGAGCCGAAAGUGAUGAAUUGAUUCAGCUAAUCAAACUCCACGAACAAGUAGUAAUAGAUCGAAACAAGAGCUGCGACCCUGUUUCUAGAUUUGGUCAAUUUGUGGUAUUUUGGGUACUAAAUUUAUGCAGGCAGAGACGGGGUAAGUAAGAAUCACUCUUUCAAUUCAAUUCCAGUCCCUCCACAUUUUUGUAGUUUGAUUUCAUUUCUUUGAUUAUGAUGCUACCUAGGAAUUUUUUUUUUUUUUUUUGCUACUGGUUCGUUUAUAUACAUAUUUCAACCUUUGUAUAUUAGUGUCAAACUUAAAGCCCUGCACAAUAACGUGUGUUCUGUGUGACAAUGGUUGGGUUGAUGACUUGAUUCCACAACAAAUAUGGUUGAACAUCAUAGAGUUCAUAUUGCAAGAUUAGUUUGUUUUGGUUGGUUGUUUGAGUUCGUGUUUCUUUUUCUGUUUGUUCCAGCUAUCUCGAUUAUGGGAUGGAGCCAAUUGAAAUUGGGUUUGUUCCUAGAAUCCCAUAUGGAGACAUUCUGUGCGUUCUCUUAAAGCAUCAGCUAUGAUGAACAAGAAAUCCAGUAACUGUGCAACUUAUGAGAAUCGAAUCUUGCAUCUAUCUGUGCUGUGUAUGCGCUGAAGAGAUUCCGGAUUUGGCCUGCCGGUUUUGCUAACCCACCGGAUUUAGUGAGGGCUGAUUUUGGGUCGAUAUGGAUGUUUUGAAGAAGUACUUCAGUAAGUCAGAGACUCCAAAGCAUUAGUUUUGUAGAGGGUAGAAUAUGGUGGAGAAAGGAGUCAUUUAUAAGGCAGCAUUGCCAAAUUUUGUGUAUAAGUUCAUUAUCAUAUGAAUUUCACCACAUUUUUCCUUAUAACAAGUUUUCUUUAGCUUCCAAGUCUCUACUUGCAUUC
Molecule: long non-coding RNA, 1008 nt
Organism: Rosa rugosa (rugosa rose)
Lineage: Eukaryota; Viridiplantae; Streptophyta; Magnoliopsida; Rosales; Rosaceae
Exons: 3
Source: RefSeq, a predicted model, not a curated record